CCUACGGGAGGCUGCAGUGGGGGAUAUUGCACAAUGGGGGGAACCCUGAUGCAGCGACGCCGCGUGGGUGAAGAAGCGCCUCGGCGCGUAAAGCCCUGUCAGCAGGGAAGAAAAUGACGGUACCGGAAGAAGAAACCCCGGCUAAGUACGUGCCAGCAGCCGCGGGUAUUCGUAGGGGGCAAGCGUUAUCCGGAUUUACUGGGUGUUAAGGGGGCGCAGCCGGCGAUGCAAGCCAGGAGGGAAAGCCCGGGGGCCAACCCCGGGACUGAUAUUGGUACUGCGUGGCUGGAGUGCAGGAGGGGCAGGCGGAAUUACUGGUGUAGCGGUGAAAUGCGUAGAUAUCAGGAGGAACACCGGUGGCGAAGGCGGCCUGCUGGACUGCAACUGACGUUGAGGCCCGAAAGCGUGGGGAGCAAACAGGAUUAGAUACCCGAGUAGUC
Molecule: ribosomal RNA, 440 nt
Filed under: uncultured bacterium
Lineage: Bacteria
Description: partial 16S ribosomal RNA
Rfam family: Bacterial small subunit ribosomal RNA
Source: RNAcentral